UAAGAGCACAUGGCGGAUGUCUUGGCGUCAAGAGGCGAUGAAGGACGUGGGAACCUGCGAAAAGUUCAGGGGAGCCGGUAACCAGGCUGUGAUCCUGAAAUGUCCGAAUGGGGAAACCCGGCCGUAAGGUCACUCUUACCUGAAUGCAUAGGGUAAGAGAGCGAACCUGGGGAACUGAAACAUCUAAGUACCCAGAGGAAAGGAAAUCAACCGAGACUCCGUGAGUAGCGGCGAGCGAAAGCGGAUUGCGACUUAAGUCAGUGAACGCGUUGGAAAGCGCGGCCAAAGAAGGUGAUAGCCCUGUAGUUGGAUGAUGUCGCUCAGCCCUAGAGUAGCGUCGGUGUCGUGAAACCCGGCGUGAACAUGGGGGGUCCACCCUCCAAGGCUAAGUACUACUUGACGACCGAUAGUUAACCAGUAAGGCGACUGAAUGAUGAAAACUACCCCUGCUAGGGGUGUGAAAGAGUAGCUGAAACCAUGUGCUUACACAGCGGUCAGAGCCCUUCGGGGUGAUGGCGUGCCUUUUGCAUAAUGACCCGGCGAGUUACUCUCAUUGGCGAGGUUAAGGCCUAGCGGGCCGAAGCCGAAGCGAAAGCGAGUCUGAAAUAGGCGUUGAGUCGAUGGGAGUAGACGCGAAACCUUGUGAUCUACCCAUGGGCAGGCUGAAGGCCGGGUAAAACCGGCUGGAGGGCCGAACGCACCAACGUUGAAAAGUUGGGCGAUGACCUGUGGGGAGGACUAAAAGUGUAAUCAAACUGGGAGAUAGCUCGUUCUCUCCGAAAUAUUUUUAGGAAUAGCCUCUUGCGGCAACUGUUGGGGGUAGAGCCACUGGAUACGGAUGGGGCCCUCGGGUACCCACUGUAACCAAACUCCGAAUACCAACAGCCAAGGCAAGGGAGUCAGCCCACGAGUGACAAUAUCCGUGGACAAAAGGGAAACAUCCCAGACCGCCAGCUAAGGUCCCUGAACAUUGCUUAGUUCUAAAGGAAGUCGAAGCGCAAAGACAGCCAGGAUGUUGGCUUAGAAGCAGCCAUCAUUUAAAGAAAGCGUAACAGCUCACUGGUCAAGCGUUCCUGCGCGGAAAAUGUAACGGGGCUUAAGUGAUACACCGAAGCUGCGGACUCAGAAAUGAGUGGUAGCGGAGCGUUCUGUAAGUCUGUGAAGGUGGCCUGCGAGGGCUGCUGGAGAUAUCAGAAGUGAGAAUGCUGACAUGAGUAGCGAUAAAGAGGGUGAGAGGCCCUCUCGCCGAAAGUCCAAGGGUUCCUGCGCAAUGCUAAUCAGCGCAGGGUAAGCCGGCCCCUAAGGCGAGGCCGAAAGGCGUAGUCGAUGGGAACCAGGUUAAUAUUCCUGGGCCAGCGGGUAGUGACGGAUUGCGGACGUUGUACACUCUUACUGGAUUGAGUGUGCAGCCAAGCCGUCCCUGGAAAUAGCUCCCGCAUGAGACCGUACCCCAAACCGACACAGGUGGUCAGGUAGAGAAUACUAAGGCGCUUGAGAGAACUCGGGUGAAGGAACUCGGCAAAAUUGUACCGUAACUUCGGGAGAAGGUACGCCUCUGUUUGUGAACACUUCGCGUGGUAAGCAAAUGGAGGCCGCAGUGACCAGGUGGCUGGGACUGUUUAUUAAAAACACAGCACUCUGCAAACUCGUAAGAGGACGUAUAGGGUGUGACACCUGCCCGGUGCCGGAAGGUUAAUUGAUGGGGUUAGUUUUCGGACGAAGCUCUUGAUCGAAGCCCCGGUAAACGGCGGCCGUAACAAUAACGGUCCUAAGGUAGCGAAAUUCCUUGUCGGGUAAGUUCCGACCUGCACGAAUGGUGUAACCAUGGCCACGCUGUCUCCACCCGAGACUCAGUGAAAUUGAAAUCGCAGUGAAGAUGCUGUGUACCCGCACCUAGACGGAAAGACCCCGUGAACCUUUACUACAGCUUGGCACUGAACAUUGAACCUACAUGUGUAGGAUAGGUGGGAGGCUUUGAAGCACAGUCGCUAGAUUGUGUGGAGCCGUCCUUGAAAUACCACCCUUGUAUGUUUGAUGUUCUAACAUUGACCCCUUAUCGGGGUUGUGGACAGUGUCUGGUGGGUAGUUUGACUGGGGCGGUCUCCUCCCAAAUAGUAACGGAGGAGCACGAAGGUUAGCUAAUCACGGUCGGACAUCGUGAGGUUAGUGCAAUGGCAUAAGCUAGCUUAACUGCGAGACAGACACGUCGAGCAGGUACGAAAGUAGGUCAUAGUGAUCCGGUGGUUCUGUAUGGAAGGGCCAUCGCUCAACGGAUAAAAGGUACUCCGGGGAUAACAGGCUGAUACCGCCCAAGAGUUCACAUCGACGGCGGUGUUUGGCACCUCGAUGUCGGCUCAUCACAUCCUGGGGCUGAAGCCGGUCCCAAGGGUAUGGCUGUUCGCCAUUUAAAGUGGUACGCGAGCUGGGUUUAGAACGUCGUGAGACAGUUCGGUCCCUAUCUGCCGUGG
Molecule: ribosomal RNA, 2468 nt
Filed under: Symbiodinium sp. Mp
Lineage: Eukaryota; Dinophyceae; Suessiales; Symbiodiniaceae
Description: partial Bacterial large subunit ribosomal RNA
Rfam family: Bacterial large subunit ribosomal RNA
Source: RNAcentral